ACCUUCUUGUGGAUGCCGAUUGGGAUUGUCCUCUCCAUCCUUCGUGUUUACCUCAACAUUCCCCUGCCCGAAAGAAUUGUUCGGUACAACUACAUGAUUCUGGGAAUCAAACUCGUUGUGAAGGGCAACCCACCCCCACCUCCGAAGGAAGGCCAUAGCGGGGUCCUAUUCGUCUGCAACCACCGCACGAUCCUAGACCCCGUUGUUACGGCGGUGGCACUGAGAAGGAAGAUCAGUUGCGUGACAUACAGCAUAAGUAAAUUCUCAGAACUGAUUUCACCGAUCAAAGCCGUGGCAUUAUCUCGAGAACGAGAAAGGGAUGCAGAGAACAUCAAGCGUUUGCUUCAAGAAGGUGACUUGGUUAUCUGCCCCGAGGGGACUACGUGCAGGGAGCCAUUUCUGUUGAGAUUUAGCGCACUCUUUGCCGAGUUGACAGACAGAAUUGUCCCCGUCGCCAUUAACACUAAACAGUCCGUAUUUUAUGGGACAACUGUGCGUGGGCACAAGUUUUUGGAUCCCUACUUCGUUUUCAUGAAUCCCAGGCCCACCUACGAGAUCACCUUCUUGAAUCAACUGCCCCCGGAACUGACUCGCCGAGGUGGUGGAAAAUCUGCUAUUGAAGUUGCCAACUACAUCCAAAGGGUGCUCGCCGGCACGCUAGGCUUCGAGUGCACUAGCUUGACCAGGAAAGACAAGUAUGCCAUGAUGGCCGGAACAGAUGGCCGUGUUGAAAACAAGGAGGACAAUUCCCAUGAAAAGAAAUGAGCAGUCCUGAGUCCUCCAUUUGUUUCCCCAAGUAGUAUAAUGUUUUCGAACCUUUUUCGUCGUAUUCAAGCAAAAGAGGGGAAAAGAAAAACGAGAACAAAAUAAUUGUUGAUCGUUAUGAUUAAGAUCUUCAUAUGGUAUAACGCACCACGUAUAUGCUUUCUGGAUUACAUUACAUGCAUAAAGUCUACGUCCCAGUCUUGCUUAGCAUGCAGUGCCUUAGACUUCUUCAUAUCCUUUUUGUCAUAUUAUAUUGGAUUAAAAACAAAAAAAUUCCAUGUGAUAUAUCUAAUAUACAGAAAAAUCUCCUAUAGUUUCAAAACAUACAAAACGAUAUCUCAUGUUUGAACUAAAUUGUAAACUAAUAGAAUUCGUUAAACUUAACGAAAAUGACGGUCUCGACUGUUAAACUUGUCGGAUUUCGUUAAGUUUACCAGAUUCCAUUAAGUUUUUCAUUAAAUUUAUCGGAUUCCGUUAAAACUAACGAAUUCUGUUAGUUUACAAUUUAAUUCAAAACAUAAAGUGUCGUUUUGUAUGUUUUGAAACCACGGGGGCUUUUCUGUAUAUUAGAUAUACCACAAGGGAUAUUUUUUUUUUUAUUUUUAACCCUAUUAUGUUAAGAAAAAGGGGGAAGAAACAACGGGAAUUAUCUAGUCAUGCAAAAAAAAAAUUAUUUUUUUUCAUCAAGCUGCAGAUUUUCAAUGUUUUUAACUACUUCAACUGUGCCCCAAAAGGACAAAAAAAAAAAAAAAAAAAAAAACUUCCAGCGUACAAAUUAAAUGAUACUAUUGUUAUGGCCAUUUGACAGUUGUAUGGUGCGUGAAUCACAUGGAAGCAAUUAAUAACGGAGGAAGUCUCAUGGUCAUUGGUCUUUUUUUAGUACAAUUUACGCCAUAAAGCUUCUCGGGUAGAGUUAGACUGGGGAUGUAAUCUCAAGUCAAUGGUUUUCCAUGGCAAGCGUGUUUCGAGUGAUUUAGAAAUCGUGAUUUGAGGGCAUUCAUUGAUUGCCAUCUUAGGAUCUCCUGUAACUUAUUCGAGAAAUAAUUGAAAAAAAGAAAAAAAGAAAGAGAAUUGUUGAGGUUUCUUCUUUACCAAAUGCAAAUCGAGUUAUUUGCAAAUAUAGAUUUGAGGGUAUAUUCAUCUUUAUAGUCAAAGAUUAAAAGAUUCCGGCAACUAGAAAAUUAGAGAGAGGGAGAGGGUUUCUUGUUCAGCCAUGUGCAUCUGAAUCUUAUUAUCGAAUGAUCAUUUUCUAAAUUGAAAACAAAAGAAACUCAAUGCUCGUUGAAAAAGGAUAUUUUACAAGCAAUAUCAUUUUGUUUCAUAACCUAAAGAGGGAAACUUUUUUUUUUUUUUUUUUUUUAAAAAAAACACAUUGACAAUUAAUACUGCGUUUUGACUUAGGAGAGACGCUAUUCUUACCUGAUUAUACCAACUGAUGACAAUUCUCAAUGUCUGAACCACAUUUGCGGCGUGCUAAUUGUGGGUUAAAAAAAAUUAAAGAUUUGUCGAGUUCUGGGCCUUCUAGCCCAGCUUCAGGAUAAAGACUCCCCCUCAGACGACAGCUGUACUGGUUGCAUUUGUCAGUCGUCCUACACUAACUAAUGGAAGUCUCCUUUAGGAAAUAGCUAAGUUAAAGAUAGCCACGUGCAAAAUUGUACCGGCUCUUGUGCUUUUUUAGGUUUUUGUUUUUUUCUUUUACCGCGCAGGUGAAAAAUUUCAAAUUCAGAACUUGUUACUUACGUUCUCUCUCGUCUCGUAUCAUGUAAUUUAUUCCUUCUUACUCUAUUGUGCUUCUUAUUUGUUUCUCACGUUCCUUUUUUUUUUUUUUUAAUUUAGGUUAUGAAUAAUGUUAAUCCAUCCAGUUAAAAUUUCUAUUUUUGCUUAAAAUGGUAACCGCAAUGGUGAUCUGUUUUUGUAUAGGUGGCAUGUCUCUAUUUUUGGAUUUAAGAAGAAUAUGAGUCGAUCCAUCCCUCGAUCGAUAGAGAGAGUCUAGACGUAGAGCAAAUUGUACGUUUUCAUCUUAAUUCGAUUUAUUCAAAGGACUAAAAUGGGUCCGCAAAAUCACACCUUACCAGAUGAAUGAAGCAUCGCCUUCCUUUACAACUUGCACAGCCGUUCAAAUGCGAAGACACUCAGGGGACAAAAUCUUUGGAAUGUAUAAUGGGCCUAUUGGCAUCCAAAUGCCCAAAGAACAUACGCUGACGAAUGUUGAGACUUGAGAUGCUCAGGGGAGUUUCGGUUUAACAACCACCUGCUGAGUUGCUCUUUGGAUUGAAGCCCAAAUUAUAUCACUUCAUAGCCCAAUAUUAUCGAUUCUAUCAUUUUGCUUGAUUGCACCUUCUUCAAAGUUUCACUUUCAAAGUUGCACCUUAGUUUUUUUUUUUAAUUGGUAGAUAAAAGUUUGGAUAAAUUCGACUUCGAUUAUACAGAUGGUCUAUUAAAUCAGCAGCAGUGUGAUUCUUCAAACACAUAACCUUUUCCUGCUUUUUUUUUUUUUUUUUUGUAAAGUAGUUUUCAAGUGAGAAAGGAAAAGGCACAAUUUUUUUUUUUUAUUUCUCAAAAUAAAGGGACAGGAGGAAAUACUCCCUAAACUUUAACUAUCUUUUGGCAACCAAGUUUUAGAAUUCGGUUGAUGUAAAAACACUUGACGAAAGUCUUGGUGUGUUUAUCACAUCUUUACCACCAAUUCUUAAGGUUAAGAUGAUCUUCGAAGUAUCAUGCUAGCGAAUUUUAGACUCCUGAUUUAGGGAUAAUUUCAGAUACAUCCUUUAAAGGUUUCAAAAAUUACACCGACCUCCUUUUAUUUUGUAUUUUUGAUAACUAUUCAGUCCAAUGGCCAUUAAAAUAGUAUUUUCAUCGAGUGAGAUGGUAUUUCUAUUCCACAAAAUAAUAUAAAAUAAUCAUACCUUGUUCAGGAGCUGGGAAGUUUUGGUGUAAUCAGAGUUCAUAGUGUCAACGUGGGAAGUGGUCAACCGACAGAGUUGACGUACGUUACGGAAUGAGACGAAAAUCGGGUGAUAGUGAUACAGAACCAUCGCUUUCGUGAAACACUCCCAUUUUAAUUUAAGGAUUAUCAUUAGGUCCUGCGAACAAGGUUGACUUUGGCCAUCGUAACUUGAUUCUCUCAAUCUUCGACUCAGCGAAUAAACCUGUGUGCAUAAAUCUGGACUAGUUGACAUUCGAUGCUACAUGUAGCUCGGCGGCUUCGCAACCGGGGUUUACCUCUACCUAAUGCUUAUUCGCAGCUGCUCAGAAACUGGAUGUUAAAUGCAAAGAGAAUGUGCCAAUAAUUAUUUUAUGGAAAUAGUCAAUCCCCAUCUUAUUCUUAUUGAGCUUUGACAAGUUGGUCACUGAGAUUUCCGCUUGAAUUACAGCUAAGUUUCUUAUGCAUUUCUUAUUGAGUUUUUUUUUUUUUCCAUUUUUUCCCUACCUCCUAGCUUCCAGGUCAAUGGCCUUCCUUUUAGUUUAUAGAAAUCUUGUCCCAGAGUUGCAGAGUUGGACUUUGCUCAAGUUUCAAACUCAGAAAACACGUACAUGGGGUUGUCUUUUAAGCAGGCUGGCACUAUACUCGGUCAACUAACUAGAUAUUUAUUUACAUAGCUAGAAGCCAAUUUCUUGUUCUCACAUUGCAGCUGCAUCUUUCCCCCUCGUCCCUUUCUCUCUUUAUCUGUAGAUAUAUAUUGCUUUUCAUUUUCUACAUUUGUUUUGCAUUUAUUUGCAUUCCCCUGGGGCAACGAACAGUUCACCUGAAACGAUGUUCACGAGAAUCCAAAGUAAUUAUGCUUUUCCCUUUGACUAUUAAUCUGCUGAUUUUGCUAAUUUUUCAUUUCGCUGCAAAGAUUCCUCUAUUUCCCUAGUUCUUUGGUAAAAGAGUUUUCAUUAUUAUUUGGGAAUGAGCAUCCAUAAAGCACCGGUUUUAGCCAUUCCACCUCCCUUUUUUUCCUGUUUCUCUUUACUAAAUUGGGGAUGCUAUGUUGAGAUUAAGAGACAUUGUUUUGUCUGAAUGAUGGUGUUAAAUCCACUGAUCAGAAGUGUUUUGAAUCUUGUAGCUCUGGCAUGGGCAGACAUAUUAAUUGCGUACGCCAUGUGGAUGCUCAUGAUCUAUUUAACAGAUGUAUGGAAGCUUGCUUUCACAUACUCUGCUGGCAUUAUCAAUGUAUACAUGGGUCUAACUGGCAUUAUGCCCCUAUUUAUGCAAUUCAUUGCCGAUACAGUAAUGGGGAACUAUUGGAUGCUCCUGUUUUCCUCUCUUGCAUAUUGCGCGGUAUUUCCUCUUCCGGAUUCUUCUUUAUUUACCUUGACAGUAUUCUGAUCAGAAGCGUUGCAGAUGUCUUCAUUUGUGCUAUUACUGUUGCUGUAGAUUGAGCUAUGUAUUUGCAUCUUUACUUGGAUUAUUAUUGAAGAUUAAACUGAAGCCUGAGUGAAUACAAUAUUAAACUUUGCCGCAUGCUAGGUUGAUAAGAAACUAGAAACUACUCGAGGAUGGCUUGAAUGAAUGCAGGUCAGACUUUUGCUAUUUUCGUGCUGUCUCGCCACAAAUUCAGGAUAAUCAGGUUGAUAAGAAACUAGAAACUACUCGAGGAUGGCUUGAAUGGAUUUUUAGUCUUAGUAGUCCGGGACAAUCAGGAUAAGCAUGCUAUUACGUCAAGAGUUAAUGGAAAUAGCUUGUUGAAAACAAUGUAUCUCUUGACGACUUGUGAACGUACCGGAUCUUGAAUUACUCCUACAUCACACUGAUUAAAUACUCAUUAUAUCAAUUUGCAAAAUUGGUGAUUGCAUCUUUAAACACUCCAAAUCUUUUGCACUUUUUACCUUGCAAAACCCUUCGUCUUUACAUUGUAUAUGUUCCCCCGCAAGCUAUAUAUGAUUCUGUUUCCAUCUGACCUGUCACGAGUAAAUAGUCUAUUUUUCUUGUUAAGCAAGAAGAACACCUGACAAGAAAAUAAAAGCCCUCUUCUAACACUUAUUCUGUGAGCAGGGAAUGGGCUUCUUGACAAUGUCAACACCACCCGUACUUUCUAAGCUUACCGGAACAUGUGGUUCCUAUGAGCCUGAAUGCAUUGGUGACACUCAACAUAUACUCUUUUACGCUGCACUAGCUCUAAUAGCUGUGGGAACAGCUGGACAUGUGACUUCUUUAGCUAGUUUCCUUGGUGAACAAUUAAUGGAUGCCAUUGAGAAUAUCUCCACCAGAUCAAUCAUCUCUGCUUAUAUUGGAAAUAUUGUAACAUUUUUUGUCAGCGUGGUUGCAGUUCUUGGAUUACCAUAUAUAAAGCCAUGGUCACUUCAUUUUGGGAUUCCAACCAUAUGUAUCCUGGUUGCAACAAUAAUAUUCCUUAGCGGAUCUCGUACAUAUGCAUAUGUUGGACCCCAAGGUAGCCAUCUAACAAUGGUGCUUAGGGUCCUUGUAGCUGCUGCAUCCAAGUUAUUCAGAAGACACCCAGCGGAUAGAUAUCAGCUCCAUGGAAUGAGUGAUUGUCCUCUCCCUCGCACACGUUUUCUCAGGUUUUGGCCUCUUGUCCUUGUCCAUUUGUUAACUCUUCAUGAUAAAAUAUUUACUCUAUACCAUGAUUGCAUUGUCAAGUGCAAAAGGUAUUAAUGAAACCAAAAAAAAAAAAGGAAUAAGCACUUAUCCUCUUUCAUUCCUAAUGUUGAGGUUACUACCAAAAAGAAUAAGAAAAAUGAUGAUAUGUUUCACAUAAAAGUGAAGAUUAUUGAUAUCAGAGAUCCUCAAUAAUGGCUGAUUUAGUUUCAUAUCUUUUUUGGUUUCUUUCAUGUUUUUAAGCUUUUAGAAAGUAAAAAAGCCAGCAACCAAAUUGAUGGUUUAGUCGAUUGUUCUUUAGCAAGUUGCCUGUUUUGAUGUUACCACCAUGUUCAAGUCAGUGCAGAAAACGGCAUUUUGGCUGUGAAAUCUGAUCCAAAAAGUUUGUUUACUUUUGCCUUUUAAGAAUGAUAGCACAUGGAAAUUGCAUUGUUAAGCUAUCAAUUUAGAUAGCUUUUCCUCACAUGCAUGGCUUCCUGAGAUGCAGGUGCCUAGACAAGGCUGCGCUUGUACUGCCGGAUCAGUCAUUGGAACAACAACAAAAUAAUAGAUGGAGGCUUUGCACCGUCACAGAAGUCGAAGCUACCAAACUCAUAAUAGACUUGAUUCCGAUGGCAAUAUCUUUUAUUUUUUUGGGUUUGCUGUCUUCACUAGGGUAUACCUACUUUAUUGAGCAAGCAAAAAAUAUGAACCACAAGGUUGGAAGCCUUACAAUACCAUUAACAAUCUUUUUUUGGUUCUAUAUUCAAGCAAAAAUGUAUUUUCCAGCAUUGUACUUCGGUGUUUCCGGGUUGUUUUGUGGAUUUAAUACUCGAACUGUGGCUCCCGUAAUUGGAAUUAUGGUAUCAAUGGUACUAGGUGCACUAUGCUGUGUUACUGCUGCAAAGGUCGAAUCCCAUAGGCUUCAUGUGGUUAAAAGCCAUGGUUUACUGGAUAAGCCCGAUGAGAGAAUUCCUUUGUCCGUCUUCUGGUUACUUCCUCAGUUUAUCCUCCUUGGUGCUGUAGAGGGCAUGUUUGAAAUCAGUGCAGCUGCUUUCUUCGAUCUUUAUUUCACUCCCGCCUUGAACAGGUACAUGCUCCUUUUUGGCUGUGUUGUGCAUGGGCUGGGAUGCAUAGGCAGUAUACUUUCGGUCUACGCAGUGGGUAAGGUGAGUGAAAGGGGAGGAAUGCCGAGUUGGUUCCAGGAUACCCUCAAUAAGAGUAGGCUCGAUAAUUACUACUGGUUUCUGUGCUGCCUCUGCGCCAUAAACCUCGUCAUGUAUGUGGUAAUGAGGUUUUGGUAUGCCUGGAGGAGUACAGAUGCACAAGACCAAGAUGAUUCCGAGGAUUCUAGUUGUUGUUGCUGCUGUUGUUAGAUGAUUGAUUGUAUGUACUGUACUAUAUUCGUUUGAAGACUUUUUUCGUUCUUGCUCUCUGUUCUCUUGCUCUUGCUUCCUGCGUAAAAAAAAAAAAAAAAAAAAGAGUAAAUCCUAUACACUGACAAUGUAUACAUAAUCACCGUUUGAUUUAUUACAUAUGUGCAAAAGCUGAAUUUUAAAUUCAAAUUUUGCAUAAUUAUCAUUCAUUUAACACUGAUAAUGUAUAUAUUAUUGUCAGCGUAGAAAAAAUUAAUCCAAAAAAAAAAGUUAAAUGGAAUAGGACUUUUCUUUUCUUUUUUUUUCCAAUUUCUUUGCUUCCAGGCCCCAGCUCCGGAGCAGGUUUAAAAAAAAAAAAGGUAAAUGGAAUAGGCGGCCCAUUGGGUAAUGAACUGGAGCCCAACAACAAUUAAAAACGGGCCAUUCAAAUUACAAUUCUGACGUUGUGCGGGUUAAUUAGUGCAUGGAAAUUAUAACCAAGACCUCAAAAAGGAAUUUUUUUUAAAAUAAUUUUAAUUGGGAAAAAGCCCAAUUAGAGGCAAGUCUGGUCCUCGCACUCGCAUCUGUACCGCCAACCAAAAUCUCCUUAGGACGCCGGCCUCUGGGUCUCCCUAACCGCCGUUGUUUCGCCCCUCUCUGGUGUCCCCAACCAGCCGAGGGAAUCCACCUAUCUACCAGUUUAUUUCCACAGAACAAGCAGGAGUUUUCCCUUUUUCUUUCCUUUUUUCUGAGAAAUGGGAAAGGCUUCAAGAGAUAAACGGGUUUUGAUCUCCUGACUUGCUAGAUUUUGCUUCUCUUUUUUUUUUUGGUUGGCUACAUUGAGCAUGUAGCAGUAUCGUCCCUUUCCCUAUUUGAUCUCUCACUCACUCACAGGAUAUCUACUAUCGGAAAGCGAAGGAGGAAGGAUGGCGUGCUCGAAGUGCCUUCAAGCUCCUCCAGAUUGAUGAAGAAUUCAACAUUUUUGAAGGUUCUGCUGUUGCUGCUGCAUCUUCAAGUUUAAUGUCAGAGCAAGACUGCCUUUCUCAUAAUCAUCAAUUGCUGAUAAUUUUUUUUUUUUUUUAAAUUCCUUGUAGGAGUGAGGCGUGUGGUUGAUUUAUGUGCAGCUCCUGGUAGCUGGAGUCAGGUAUUGGUUGCUUAUUCAUUGUUUCUAGAAAAGUAGAUGAUUAGGUCAGUUCCUGCAUAUAAAUACACAUAACACCACACUGUGGUUUUAUCUAUCUUCCGUUAAGUUAGAUUUUUAUACCUGCAAAAAGGUUUGUUUCACUCAACCCUAUGUAAAUGUUUUUCGAUCUUUAUAGGAUAACUAAUUAAAUGUGAAUAAGAAUCUGUAAUCAGAGAUAUAAUAGAUCUCAUUUCAGUAGUUAGUUGCAUUUUGCUUCCCACAAGCAAAUUAUACUGAAUGGUUGGAGUCAGCGUCACUUCUGGAGUUCAUAAUAUUACUUCCUGUAAUAUCGGCUCUAUUCUUUUAACCUUGUUGACAUUGUUUUAACCUGGAAAGCUUUUGUUGCUUCUUGCUGGACCACGAUUAUACAUGUUACAUACCCUUAAAUGAAAUGAAGAUAGGAGAAAUUGACUACAUGGGAGACAAAAUAGAUUUCUAAGCAGAGUAUAUUUUCGCCUUAAUCUUCAAUUGAUUGCUGAUGCGCCAUUCUCUUAUGUUUCAGUUGUUUUCUAUCUUCUGCACAGGUUUUGAGUCGCAAAUUGUACCUCCCUGUCAAGCUGGAUCCUAAUGCAAAGUAUGUGUGCUUGUUUAGUUCCCUCUAGUAUAGCUGCCAUGACCGCUGCCUCCCACAACUUCACUUUUGAUGUUCUGUCUUAACAUAUUUUUCUGAGAAUCAUGUUAAAACCUGUAUUGCUAGUUUGCUACCAACCGUCAAUUUUCCUUCAUUUAUUCAUGCUGUACAUUGGUGUUGUUUUAUUACAAAUUUAUCUCCCUUAACAAAGUUUUCCUUCAUUUUCAAGUUGUUUUUUUAUAAAUCUAUUUUACAAAAGACUUGAGUUUUCUAAUGGCCCAUAAUCUUGGCAAUCUAUAUCUUGAUGCUUCUGAGCUAUUUGAAUAUUAGCUGUUGAUUAAUUUUUCAGACUUGCAUACUUGGAAGGAAGGCAGCUGAUGAAAUAGGAAAGAUCUUAUCUGUUGUUUUUUGCAUUAUUGGCAGUAUUGCAUUGGGAUCACAUGGAAUUUGAAAGACUGCAUUAUUUAGUUCAAGGAAUAUGAACAAUUAAAUUUGCAGAUUAUAGAGAUAGAGAAUGUUAUGUGUAGGAGUAGAAUCUAAUCACAGAUUUGCUAGCUUCAAACUGCCUGUGGCGUAAAGUAUUUUACUUUUUGCUUAAUUUUCUGUAUGAGCUUUCGUUAGCAUUUUCCCAGUUAUGGUGCUUCCCUGCUGCAUAUUAACCAUAUUCAAGUUAUAAUUGGUAGGGAUAGCGACCUUCCACUUAUUGUGGCAAUUGAUUUGCAGCCUAUGGCUCCAAUCGAGGGUGUUAUUCAAGUUCAGGGUGAUAUAACAAAUGCAAGAACAGCUGAAGUGGUAUAAUUUUGUGCACUGGCUUCUUAUCUUGUGUAUGUUUGACCAUUGAUUGAAAAUGAUAUCUGAACAUGCCAAGAAAGUCCACAUCUUGUCAUUACAGAUCUCCUCUUUGAUCUCCUUCCGACAGUGUUAAGUUCAGAGUCUUCUCAAGUAAAUACACCUGUGACCUGGAUUAAUAUUCUAAUCCUCUGUCCACCCCUUUCUGGUUGUGUUAACUUCACAGUUGUCUUAAAUAAAUGUGUUUUUAUAAUUUUAAUUGAAUAGAGAGUCAAUUUUUUCUUGCUUGCUGUCAUUGUCCAUUCACGGCAAGAUGUGUUUAUUCAGUCUCUUUGAAUGCUAGCAUCUGAUCCUUUGUUAUAUUAUUUAUGAAGAGAGUUAAGGUAGGCAGGCAUCACCAACAACAUUUAUUUUUUCUCUUUAGGUUAUCAGACAUUUUGAUGGAUGCAAAGCUGACCUGGUUGUCUGUGAUGGUGCCCCUGAUGGUGAGCAUAAAAAAGCAAUUUUAACUUGUGGGCUGCUGUCUUCUUUGCUAUGUCGUGUAUUGUCAUAUAUCUAAGUGUUCUGUUUCAUAUGUUGCAGUUACUGGUCUUCACGACAUGGAUGAAUUCGUUCAGUCUCAACUCAUACUUGCAGUUAGUCUUGAAUUGCUUUUCCAGACUAUGGAUCUUUACUUUUAUCCUUACUGAAAAAUUUUGAAACUUUGGUUUGUUGUAUUACUAUACUAACAAUUAGUUGUUUUGACCAUUAUUUGUGGAUAUUUGCAGAUGCUUUUCUCUUUUUCUUUUGUUUCUCACUUUGUGUUCACAGUGACAACAAGAGGUGUCAAAACUUGUUUGCAGGGUCUGACAAUUGUAACCCACAUACUGAAGGAAGGUGGAAAGUUCAUUGCCAAGAUAUUUCGAGGAAAGGACACAAGCCUGCUCUAUUGUCAGUUAAAACUUUUUUUCACUGAAGUGACCUUUGCAAAACCAAAAAGUAGCCGGAACUCAAGUAUAGGUAGAUAUUUAACUUUGUUCUUUUGUAUUUCUUUGAUAUUCUGUAUCAGCAUGUACCACCAUAGAGUUAUGAUCACUGUUGGUGAGAGCAGAUAACUUUCAAAUAUUUUGUGAAAAUAUCGUCACAAGCUUUAUAGACAAUAUAAGCUGUAGCUUGAUAAACUAUACCAUUUGGUUAGAAUUUCAAACAGUUAGCCUUCCAAUAUAUGUUCUCUGGCAAACAUUCGUGCUGUCAACUUUUAUGGUCCUUGUGAUUUUUUGGGACCUUUCAUUAUGUGGGUUUUGUCAUGUAUCUUAAGAUUUGGUGGUUUAUCAGUUAUUAAGUGUUGUCCAAGCAAUCAACGGUUACAGGGAAGGUAGUAUUUAUGAGGUUAAAUUCACAAGACAAAAGCUGUGUGAAGAAAAGAACUGAAUUGUGCUUGUGUUUGGUUGAACGCAGAGGCAUUUGCUGUUUGUGAGAAUUACUCUCCUCCUGAAGGAUUUAAUGAGAAGGAUCUGCAUCGCCUCCUUGAAAAGGUUGGGAGUCCAUCUGGUGCGGAUGAUCUAGGUAAUCAUGACUUGAUUAACAUAACCAUUUUUGCUUACUAUUCUGUCUGUGUACAUGUACUUGAGCUGUUACAGAGCUCCUGUAUCAAAUCAAUUGCUCAAAAUGAAAAAAAAAAAAAAAAAGAGUAUAUAAUCAAUUGGCUUGGCCAUUUGUGUGCACUUGGGCAUUUGUGGAUCUGUGUGUGUGGGAGUGAAUAUUUUCGUCUUGUUCUUUUCCAUAUGUUGCUGCUAGUUUUGUUACUCUAAAUGUAGUUGGGGUGCUUUUAACUGAAAGCGGGCUGAAGGACGUUAUUCCUUGUGGCAAACUCUCUAUUGUUUCAGGAAUAGUAGAUGCCUCCUUAAACAUCCCCUUGUCUCGGCCCUAGAUGGAAAUGCUGGUUGCAAAUGCGAUUUUGUGGGUAUUACAGAUUCUUUUAUUAAUGCAUGUUGCUUUACAGAUUGCAGCAGUGGAUGGUUGGAAGGUCCAAACAAGGUGUACAUCCCGUUUCUGGCAUGUGGAGACCUAAAUGGGUACGACUCGGAUCGUUCUUAUCCACUUCCCAAAGUUGCAGAUGGAAAGUAUCGGAGUUUGGAUCCUGUACAACCUCCCAUAGCACCACCAUACAAGAGAGCGCUUGACAUGAAGAAAGCUUUAAGUCAGGGAAUUCGAGACAUGGAGAAACUCAACGUGAUGCAUGACUGUUAAACUCAAACUUGUUUAACAAGUAGGUUAUAGGAAUUUACGGAAUUCUUGUGUAAGCUCAAUUUUUUUGCCCCCCUCCCAAAAAAAAAGUACUGUUUUGAUCUGGAGAUGUGUCUACUGCAGCGAGAUAAUUGAAGACUUCUGUUGGAAAUUAUACGUAUUCCUGCUUCAGAGUCUAAACAAAAGUCAGUAAGAUGCGCAUCGGUUUGAGAUUGUUUAUCGAGGUAUUGGCAAGUAUGGUGGUAGUGGGUAAAUGGUGAAAUAUGGGUUUGUUUAGUUCUUCUCCCUUUUUAAUUUUGACUGGCUGCGGAUGAUUUAUUUGAUUAUUUCUUUUUCUUCUGCUGGGUCGGGACUCAGAAGGUUGAUUCGAUUUUCCAGUUUAACUUUUCAAUAGCUAAAACUAAUAAUUUAAUACCACCAGUGAUACGUCAAUUUUUAACCGGACCAGAUUUGUCAUCGUCAGUGGGCUGCCGCAUUUCCCAGAAUGGAUUUGUAAAUUGCAGUCUUGACCUUUACUGAAGGCAUCCUACAACUAAAGAGUAACGAGGAACAUAGCGAAGAUUAACCGACGUACCAGCCGUGGGAUAGGCAAUUGCAGCAAUCGAGUGAUUCCUUUUCCUUUUGGGAUGAAUAUAUGGAGGAUAUGUGUCUGGGCAACUGGACUAAAUUAUUGCUGAAUAUGAGACAGCUUAGGGGACUCCUGAGAAAGUUGCUCCGGAGGAAUGUUUGCAUUCCCCACCGGAUGCAAAUAUUCAUCAAAGCUGCCUAGAUACAAAUUAGAUGCUCGGUGCCACUUAAUCAGCGUCAGCUCAUUAGGUGUCACUCUUUCAUUCGAUGAAAGUGUUCAAUUAAUUUAAGUUGAAAUUAAAUAUUACGUGAUAAUUUAAAUUAAUUAGAUACUUAAUAUAAUUUUACGAGCGGCACUGAGUUACCACUAAGAAGAAAAUGGAGGAUCUCAAUUGGCCUAGAUAUGGGGUUUAUCCGUACAUUUAAGGUGAAAGAUGAACAAAUAAGCAUUAAAAUCUGGGAAAAGGUUUCAUCAAAGACGAAGAAUUUAUAAGACAAAAGCAGAGGAAAGUUCGCCUGAUGACAAUCAUGGUUUUCAGUAAAUGCACGUAUGUAUCUGACAAAUAUAUCUCCUACCUCCUACCUCCUACCUCUAGGCUCUAGCUCGUUACCUGUGGCCUGUGCGCAAACGAACCAUCAUCUGAGCCAUUUCUAGCUGGAAAAUCUGUUUACAACAAGAACACUGGAAUUGGCACUAGUCGAUGUGAGGAUGAUCUUUCUAUGACUAUGUCCUGGUUUUUCUAUACAUUAACCCUUUUCAGGUGGUAACUGGUAAAACGGGCAGCUUUCCUACUCAUUCAAACAAAUCAGUUUCAUCCACAAUACUAGAGCGCGCGCAAUUAAAGCAGACAAAAGUAUUUAGCAAGAGCUUGCAACUGAAUUGGAUCUUUGCAAGGAGGAUGAUGAAUUCAAGAACUCAAUGCAGUCCUCAAUAGCUUCAGCCCGCUGAGAAUCAUCAAGUGUCUCUGCAUAGGACCGUGAUCUUGCUAAAGUUAAACUAGCCGCCGAAGACACUUUGCACGAACACUUCUUCCGGCAGGAGAUGAAACGAAGAGCCUGGGCAACGUUGGCUCCAACGCGCUUUGCAAAUCUCACGGCUGAGAAUCCUGAUGACGAAGAGCUUUCGGGAACUCUGAAACUAGUCCAGGUCCCCUGAGUAGCAGCAUGGACUCUCUCCUUGCUCCCCCCGCUAACUUUAAUACUGCCGUAUCCAGAGCGUUCUUUGUUAGAGUACUGCUUCCUGAUUACCGGUUGCUUAUCGUUGACAUCAGGGCUGAAACCAACUCUCUUAUUCAUGUUCCCGAUUGACAUGGAUCGCUCGACGAGGAGAGAGAGAGAGAGAGAGAGACAGAAAGAGCAGGAAGACAGAGAAAAGGCAGUUGCUGAUUAUUUAUUGAGGAGACGGAAAAAGAAAAGGUAAGCAAGACCAAGAGAAAGAGAUGGUUCUGGGACUUCCGUUUUACACUUUUUCCCCUUUGGUCAUACCAUACUACUCUUAUGCUAGCAAUACAUCAGGCGUUGGGGGAAAUGAUCUUUUCCUACCAAUACCAUGCCCACAUGCUCGCCUUGGUUGGUUCAACCAAAUUGACCGUGGUGACCAAGAAGGCUUUCAGUUCAAGCAGAUCCUGUAAUAAUUUUCUUCUGCUCCUCCUCUUCAGUCUUCACCAGUCAUAUAAGCAAAUCACCAAUCCUGUGGUGCCCAAAUUAUGUACUCUGUAACGGAUGCAGAAGCAGAAAAAGCCACAACAUAAAGUGAAGUAGGAAUGUCUGCCGUUCACAUUUUCAGCUGUCAUGGUACGAGGCAAAUAUGAAUUAACCUGAAAAAACGUACGGGACAGUGGGACCCUGGCUUAGAGAGUUUUAAAAUGAGACCAGAACCAGAUACAUACAUACUACUGCUGUACCAAAAUUCAGCGAUUGUUUUCAGUCAAAAGGGGAGACGGAAGUGGUAGGCCCAUAUGGAGGUGGUAACUGAUACCGUGGUGAAAAAACAAAGAAAGAAAUAAACAAAAAAAAAAAAAAAAAAGGAAGAUAACUGUAAUUUUAUUGCAAAGGGUUGCUUUGUUAAACUUGAGAUUCUCGGUGACAUGUUUUUUAUGCGAAUUCAAUGCCAUCUAUAAUAUUACGCCAAGUGUCAUGUUAUUAUUUACACCUGUAUUAAACCAAACUAAGUUGAAUUAUUAGAAAAUUAAAUGAUAAAUAAUAACAAGACAUUUGGUGCAAUACUGUAGAUGAUAUUGAAUUGGUAUAGAAAACAUGUCACCGAGGAUCCAAGUGACUUUGUCGUUUCGUAUUUUAGUUAAUUGGGUUUGGACAUCAUCGCUCAUAAAAGGAUAACUAUAAUUUAGUUAAACUAUAAGGUUCGUUCUAUAACUUGAUCAAACCUCGAGAAGAAGAAAAGACCUUUUAGCCAAGUUGAGGGGAAUGGGGAGUCACGGCGGCUGAAAUUAUAAUGGCGCGGCGAAGACGGCAGCUAAAAACUAUAAAGUAGGCUAAUUGAUUGUUAACGUUGGCGUUGGGUUUGGACUUUCCAACCACCCCGACCCGUCUUCACAACCGCCCUAAUUUAAGCUUAGGAAAUCAAUCCCCCUUCCCUCCGUCUCUAUGGUAUCUAUACUUGUAUUUUUCUCAAAUUCUCAAUAACAAAUACUACCAUUAUUCUGACCAAUGUAAUAAUUCUUCCUCCCUCCACUCCUGGCUUGCCUUCUCAGCCACACAAAAUUUUGGUGGUAAAGACCACUCCGCAAAUACUUAACGUGUAGACUAGUAGCAGCUAUGCUUCAUAUUCGUGUCCCUCCCCACUUUCUCCUUUCUUUUUAAACCCCCCCGGUCUCCCUCCUCUUCACCUCCUCCCACGGCAUCUAUUUGUACAUAGCGAUAGAAAAAAACAGCAAGAAACUUGGAACACAUAUAUGUAGUACAACUACUAAGAUCCCACUCCAUCCAUCUCAUCGUAAUUACACUGUCAUAUACAUAUCCUCUCCCACGCUCUGAUCAAUGGGUGCUCAUCCGCACUUUGAACCAAUCUCGAAAUGUAGCUCGGAGGGACGGUCGAAUCAGACCGUGGCAGCAGACCUAGAUGGCACCCUUUUGGUAUCCACAAGUGCUUUUCCCUACUACAUGCUUGUUGCUUUGGAAGCCGGCAGCCUUCCAAGGGCAUUACUCCUCCUGGCCUCUGUUCCCUUUGUGUACUUCACGUACAUUUUCCUAUCCGAAUCUAUAGCCAUCCAUACUUGGGCAUACAUCGCCCUUGCUGGACUCAAACUGCGGGAUAUCGAACUCGUUUCGAAGUCCGUAUUGCCCAAGUUUUAUGCGGAAGAUGUUCACCCCGAGACCUGGAGGGUGUUCAAUGCUUUUGGAAGGAGAUACAUUAUAACCGCAACUCCCAGAAUCAUGGUGGAACCUUUUGCCAAGAAUUUCCUUGGGGCCGACAAGGUUCUGGGGACAGAGCUGCAAGUGUCAAAAUCUGGACGUGCUACGGGAUUCUUGAAGAAGCCUGGUGUCCUUGUCGGCGAACGCAAGAAAGCAGCACUCAUUCAAGAGUUUGGUACUGACGUGCCUGAUUUAGGUCUAGGAGAUCGAGAGACAGACCAUGAUUUCAUGUCCAUAUGCAAGGUAAACUUCAACUUCUUUUUUCUUUUUUUUUUCCCGAUACUUUGAUUGUUUUUUUUUUAAUAUAUAUACACAUACAUAAUUCCCUCCUCAUGAGCGUCCAUGCCUUUGCUUAUCGAUUCACUUUUUCUGUAGCUGAAGGCAACAGUUUUAUACGGGGUUGGUUUCUACUGUUAUUUGUUCCUAUAUCAUGAUUAACUGCAAUAUCUAUUUCGUAUGGAUCAGUUUUUUUUUUUUCCUUGUCUCGUUUGCCAUUGUAAUUUUUUUUAAAAAUUUUUAUUGUCCUUGUAGUUAGCAUUCUCGUCUCAUAUUACUUGAAAAUCCUAGAGUUUCUUCUAUAAAAUCCUGAAAAUUUGUAAAAGCGUGAAAUUUGUAUUUCAAGGAGAAGGUGAACACACACCCGAGACUCUGCACGGUACACAUCCACCCACCAUGCAUCUUUUGGAAAAGUAGUAAACCUAUACUCCCGUAAAGCUAUGGUUGCAGUAAAGAUGAUCAACCUCUUUAAUUUUAAGAAUUCCUACAUUUGUGUCUAUUACGUACUCAUGCAUGCCAUCAUCUUUAAUUGUUUUUGUAGAUGAACUCAAAUAUUAAAUACUAAUGGGAGAUGCACGCGCCUUAUGAGUAUGCAAAUUCAGUUAAAAAAAUUAAGUUUUUUUAUUCAAACAAAUGAAAGUUUAUUAGAAUUUUUUUUGUUGUAAAAACAAAAAAAAAAGAAGUUAUUGAAAAUAGUGGAAGUUAUGGAGUUUAGAAGUUAUCGAUCUUUAGUAUAUUUUUAUUUUUUAUGAGAGUAAAAUAAAGAAAUAAAAAAAUAUUUUAACACCAAAAUCAUGCCUCAUACUUUAUAUAUACUAGUGGGUGAGGCAUAUGAGUGUGCAUAUUUUAGGAAAAAUAUAAAUAACGAAGGCAUCAAGCAAUUGUAUUGACAUGGGAAGAGGACAGCGUGGCUCUAAGUUUUUAAUUGUAACUAUUAUUGCAACCAUUUUUAAUUGUACCUAUUACUGCGACCAUUUAAAAAAAAAAAAAAAGGACAUGGGCCCUUCAUUUUCUCAAUAAAUAGCACGUUCCAGGAAGGUCCAAUCUGGCAAGAGUCAAUGCUAUUCAUUGCUUGGACGCUACUAAGUACCAGAGUAGAUAUGAUAUCCGCUUCUGAUUAGAAUGUUACAGCUGCCGGCGCUGUACUCUCGUAACAAACUCCCCUGUCUUAUCUCAAAUAAAAUUCAUGAAAAAAUAAAACUUGGAAGAAUAAUAAAUGCAAUAUUUGGUGAUAGGCAGUUCUUCUUCUUCAUCUUUUUUUUUGGCUCUUGGGUGACAGGCAGUUUUCCAUGCAGAUACUGACAUAUAUGCAUAAAGAUUUUUCUUUUUUUUUUGGGGGGUUUUGCAUGAAGAAUUACAUCUGUACUGAUCGUGCAGGAAGGUUACAUGGUACCAGGAGCAAAAUGCGAACCCCUGCCAAGAAAUAAGCUGCUAAGCCCAGUCAUUUUUCACGAAGGUCGUCUGGUACAAAGGCCUACACCUCUUGUGGCCCUGUUGACCUUCUUGUGGAUGCCGAUUGGGAUUGUCCUCUCCAUCCUUCGCGUUUACCUCAACAUUCCCCUGCCCGAAAGAAUUGUUCGGUACAACUACAUGAUUCUGGGAAUCAAACUCGUUGUGAAGGGCAACCCACCCCCACCUCCGAAGGAAGGCAAUAGCGGGGUCCUAUUCGUCUGCAACCACCGCACGAUCCUGGACCCCGUUGUUACGGCGGUGGCACUGAGAAGGAAGAUCAGUUGCGUGACAUACAGCAUAAGUAAAUUCUCAGAACUCAUUUCACCGAUCAAAGCCGUGGCAUUAUCUCGAGAACGAGAAAAGGAUGCAGAGAACAUCAAGCGUUUGCUUCAAGAAGGUGACUUGGUUAUCUGCCCCGAGGGGACUACGUGCAGGGAGCCAUUUCUGUUGAGAUUUAGCGCACUCUUUGCCGAGCUGACAGACAGAAUUGUCCCCGUCGCCAUUAACACGAAACAGUCCGUAUUUUAUGGGACAACUGUGCGUGGGCACAAGUUUUUGGAUCCGUACUUCGUUUUCAUGAAUCCCAGGCCCACCUACGAGAUCGCCUUCUUGAAUCAACUGCCCCCGGAACUGACUCGCCGAGGUGGUGGAAAAUCUGCUAUUGAAGUUGCCAACUACAUCCAAAGGGUGCUCGCCGGCACGCUAGGCUUCGAGUGCACUAGCUUGACCAGGAAAGACAAGUAUGCCAUGAUGGCCGGAACAGAUGGCCGUGUUGAAAACAAGAAGGACAAUUCCCAUGAAAUGAAAUGAGCAGUCCUGAGUCCUCCAUUUGUUUCCCCAAGUAGUAUAAUGUUUUCGAACCUUUUUCGUCGUAUUCAAGCAAAAGAGGGGAAAAGAAAAACGAGAACAAAAUAAUUGUUGAUCGUUAUGAUUAAGAUCUUCAUAUGGUAUAACGCACCACGUAUAUGCUA
RNAcentral lists this long non-coding RNA (19048 nucleotides) under Coffea arabica (coffee). RNAcentral describes it as "long non-coding RNA (CARA_LNC004428)". The record is from RNAcentral. Lineage: Eukaryota; Viridiplantae; Streptophyta; Magnoliopsida; Gentianales; Rubiaceae.